Molecule: transfer RNA, 84 nt
Filed under: Kitasatospora phosalacinea
Lineage: Bacteria; Bacillati; Actinomycetota; Actinomycetes; Kitasatosporales; Streptomycetaceae
Description: tRNA-Arg
Source: RNAcentral
GGUCGCCGUAGCGCACCUGGGGCCCGCCCGCCGCCUCCGGCGCGGCGGCGGUCAGCGGCCGCGGCCGCGUCCCGGGGACGGCCA